This 2564-nucleotide unclassified non-coding RNA is filed under the name Hevea brasiliensis (rubber tree). The record is from RNAcentral. Lineage: Eukaryota; Viridiplantae; Streptophyta; Magnoliopsida; Malpighiales; Euphorbiaceae.
UUUUUUUUUUUUUGCUUAAUACAAUAAUCAAUUUGAAUUAUGCGUUUACAAGCCUAUCCUAGUGGUAGAUAAACAUUGCAACUCAAGACAAACUCCCAAGUUUGAGUCUUCCUUCCCUUCCUUAGUAAUCCCAAAAAAGAAAAUUUGUACUAACAAACCAAUCAAGAGGAGAAAAAAGAGUAGCAUCCAUGCCAUUGCCAUGUAUAUGUAAAUCAAGCCCAUGCAGUCCUUGCUAAGAAAGCACCACAAUGUAGAAUUGGGAGUUGUUCAUCUUUUGAGGGAUGAUCAAGUGGCCUUUUAACAUAGACAUUCAUUCACUAUUCAGAAACAAAUCGGAUAAAAGAUACCUGGGAAAACCGAGUCUUAGAAUAGAUCAUCUCGAGCUUUGGCUCUCGCUGGUAUUCAAGAACAUCUACCUAAAUCUUGGUGAUUAUUGAAAACAGUAAAUUCAGGCACCUCCUCAAUAUCCCCUGUUGGCUGCCAUAAUUGCAAUAAAAGCCAUAGCAAAAAAUCAAUUAUCAUAACCAAGCAAAAAAGCUUCCCUGCCCAAGCACCACAGGAGAGAUACCUAAUAAACAAAUAAUGUUAGCAAGCCUCAAAAUUCUUGAUGAACUUUAAUUGACUUCAGACUCUUGGACAUUGCAUACCAGCAAUUAUAACUUGAAAUUCACCAUAAAAAUUUUCUCAGGAGAACCAUGCAUGAAUGGCAGAAGUAAAACUGUAUUAAGCUUCAGACUAACCUUAUUUUUAUUGCAUCAUUAUGCUUCCACAAAAUUAGAUGGCUCAAAUGUUCUCUAUUUUUAGAUCACAUAAGCACUAAAUACAGGCACUUUAGAUUCUUGUUAUGCAAAUAAAUCUAUACAAAACAGAUCAGCCAGUUGACAUAAUAAGCUCAUCUUAAUAAAUUGUACAAAAUAUGAUUAUCUGAUAAUAAAAGAUCUUGCAUUUGCAGACCGUGAGAGUCACUCUAAAAAAUUUUGAUUUGGGCAUUUCAAAGCACGGUCAUAUACAAUCUCUGUUCUUUUGUCAACAUCAUGCCAACUGUAGAGCUUCUUCAUCUAAUAGCAAACAUUAAAAAAAAAUUAGACCAUUGCACAAGUUGUAAAAAUUUUCAUAAAGAUCCAGGUUACCGUAAAUAAUUUACCACGCUUGCACGCUCAUGCAUAACUUGUGGGUCAAUUUUUGGAAGAAGAGAGAUUGCCUUUUUAAUUGCCUGUACCAUAUCACCAGGAUCUGGUUCUGCAAGUACAAUCAUGUCAUCUGGUAGGACCUCUGGGACACCUCCGACGCGUGUACUGACUGUCAAUAGUCCACAACUAGCAGCCUCUAAUAUUGCAAUGCAGAAUGCUUCUGUUAAAGAACUGUUCAAGAAUAUGUGGCCAGAAAUCAGGACAGAUCGCACACGUGCAUGCGGCACAGCACCCAACAUUUCAACUCGAUCUUGAAGAGAAUGUUUCUCCCUCAUCUCUUCCAGCCGCACACGUUUAGGUCCAUCUCCACCAACAAUAAAACGAACAUUUGGAAACAGAUGGCAAACUUCUGGAAUGACUUCAACGAGUAAGUCAGCACCCUUCCGAUAAACCAAUCUACUUAUGACAACAAUGACAAUUUCAUUACCACGAGGUCUCUCAGGACCAGGUUUGAACAUGGCAGUGUCUACAGCAUUUGGUAUCACAAAGACCUUUUCUGGAGGUACACCUGAUCGUAGCACCGUGUUUUCCUUGCUUGUAUGAGAAACACAGAUGGCCUGGCUAACAUCUGCUAAAGUAAACUGCAAUACUUUGUUCAUGUGGAUGCUUCCAACAUCAGCAAAACCAUAGAGUGAAUGAUCAGUAAAAACAACUUUGUAUCCCAUUGUACGUGCAUGCAUCAAAGCUUCAUGACAAAGAGUUGAGAAAGCUUGAUGACCAUGCACCAAAGAUAUUUUUUCACGAAUAAGAAUAGUCCUUAUAAUUGGAAGUGUCCCAUAAAAGGUUGGUAAUGUGUUUUGCAUAAGAAAUGGUCUCCAUGGUACAUAGUAAACUUUCAGGCCACCAGUCAUGUAUCUGACCCCAGAGCGAUUACCAUAAGCAUGAGUCAUAACCACCACCUUGUGACCAAGCUUUAGUAGACAUUGUGAUAGGUAAUAGAUGUGGCUUUCCACGCCACCAAAGUUAGGAUAGAAAAAAUCUGAAACCAUCAAGAUUCGGUGCUUCUGAUAUGCCAUUAGUCAAUCAAUCACCUUAAAUUCUUCAACACAUAAGCAUGUAAAUGAUGAAACAAAGAGUUCUUGUCACUCGUUGCCAACACAGAAGCAAGAAGUUUUUUUGAUCUUCUUGGUGACUUGGUGUCAUGGCAAUCAUGGCUACAUUUACCUCUUCAUGGCUCGUUAUAGAAACAGACUUCGAAUUAAUAACCGAAAAUUCACCAGGGCACGCAUUCAAUUUUCCAGAGAGCUAGCAUUUGCGUGUAUAAAGAGGAGGCAGAAUAUUCCCCGCCCUUUCCUCCCAACAGUUUUAGUGCCCAUGUUGAUAAGUAUUUCCCGUGAACCUUUCGACUGGUUAUUGCAAAUCCCCAACACAAAU